RNAcentral lists this ribosomal RNA (253 nucleotides) under uncultured bacterium. Its description in RNAcentral is "partial 16S ribosomal RNA". It matches the Rfam family "Bacterial small subunit ribosomal RNA", at positions 524 to 776 of the family's 1533-position model. The record is from RNAcentral.
UACGAAGGGGGCUAGCGUUGCUCGGAAUCACUGGGCGUAAAGCGCACGUAGGCGGAUCUUUAAGUCAGGGGUGAAAUCCCAAGGCUCAACCUUGGAACUGCCUUUGAUACUGGGGAUCUCGAGUCCGGAAGAGGUGAGUGGAACUGCGAGUGUAGAGGUGAAAUUCGUAGAUAUUCGCAAGAACACCAGUGGCGAAGGCGGCUCACUGGUCCGGUACUGACGCUGAGGUGCGGAAGCGUGGGGAGCAAACAGG